UGGGGAAUUUUCCGCAAUGGGCGAAAGCCUGACGGAGCAAUACCGCGUGAGGGAAGAAUGCCUAUGGGUUGUAAACCUCUUUUUUCAGGGAGGAAUAACAUGACGUGUACCUGAAGGAUAAGCAUCGGCUAACUCCGUGCCAGCAGCCGCGGUAAGACGGAGGAUGCAAGUGUUAUCCGGAAUCACUGGGCGUAAAGCGUCUGUAGGUGGUUUAAUAAGUCAACUGUUAAAUCUUGAUGGCUCAACUUCAAAAUCGCAGUCGAAACUAUUAGACUAGAGUAUAGUAGAGGUAAAGGGAAUUUCCAGUGGAGCGGUGAAAUGCGUAGAUAUUGGAAAGAACACCGAUGGCGAAAGCACUUUACUGGGCUAUUACUAACACUCAGAGACGAAAGCUAGGGUAGCAAAUGGGAUUAGAUACCCCAGUAGUCCUAGCUGUAAACAAUGGAUACUAGAUGUUGAACAGAUCGACCUGUGCAGUAUCAAAGCUAACGCGUUAAGUAUCCCGCCUGGGAAGUAUGCUCGCAAGAGUG
This 530-nucleotide ribosomal RNA is filed under the name uncultured bacterium. Its description in RNAcentral is "bacterial SSU rRNA". It matches the Rfam family "Bacterial small subunit ribosomal RNA", at positions 355 to 896 of the family's 1533-position model. The record is from RNAcentral.